RNAcentral lists this unclassified non-coding RNA (244 nucleotides) under uncultured bacterium. Its description in RNAcentral is "contains 16S-23S intergenic spacer region". The record is from RNAcentral.
CUCCUCCAGUGCCUCAAGUGCCUCCGCAGCCAGCCUUGUAUGAGGACAACACAAUUGCCUUGAUUAGGGAGUUUAAGAAGAUGAAAUCGCUGAAAUUCUCAGGGGGUAUAGAGCCGAUGAAGGCCAAGGCGUGGGUUUUGGAAAUGGAGAAGCUAUUUGAGAUCUUUCCUAGCACCGACGCUCAGAAGGUGACAUUGGCAGAAUUCACAUUAGACGACGACGCUCGAAGGUGGUGGAUGAUGAU